Molecule: ribosomal RNA, 253 nt
Filed under: uncultured bacterium
Lineage: Bacteria
Description: partial 16S ribosomal RNA
Rfam family: Bacterial small subunit ribosomal RNA
Source: RNAcentral
UACGAAGGGGGCUAGCGUUGUCCGGAUUCAUUGGGCGUAAAGCGCGCGUAGGCGGCCGCUUAAGUCGGAUGUGAAAGCCCCUGGCUCAACUGGGGAAGUGCACCCGAAACUGAGUGGCUUGAGUACCAAAGAGGGUCGCGGAAUUCCCGGUGUAGAGGUGAAAUUCGUAGAUAUCGGGAGGAACACCGGUGGCGGAGGCGGCGACCUGGGUGGAUACUGACGCUGAGGCGCGAAAGCGUGGGGAGCAAACAGG